ACUGGGCGUAAAGGGCACGCAGGCGGUGACUUAAGUGAGGUGUGAAAGCCCCGGGCUUAACCUGGGAAUUGCAUUUCAUACUGGGUCGCUAGAGUACUUUAGGGAGGGGUAGAAUUCCACGUGUAGCGGUGAAAUGCGUAGAGAUGUGGAGGAAUACCGAAGGCGAAGGCAGCCCCUUGGGAAUGUACUGACGCUCAUGUGCGAAAGCGUGGGGAGCAAACAGGAUUAGAUACCCUGGUAGUCCACGCUGUAAACGAUGUCGAUUUGGGGGUUGAACUUUAAGUUUGGCGCCCGUAGCUAACGUGAUAAAUCGACCGCCUGGGGAGUACGGCCGCAAGGUUAAAACUCAAAUGAAUUGACGGGGGCCCGCACAAGCGGUGGAGCAUGUGGUUUAAUUCGAUGCAACGCGAAGAACCUUACCUACUCUUGACAUCCAGAGAACAUUCCAGAGAUGGAUUGGUGCCUUCGGGAACUCUGAGACAGGUGCUGCAUGGCUGUCGUCAGCUCGUGUCGUGAG
RNAcentral lists this ribosomal RNA (517 nucleotides) under uncultured bacterium. Its description in RNAcentral is "bacterial SSU rRNA". It matches the Rfam family "Bacterial small subunit ribosomal RNA", at positions 553 to 1071 of the family's 1533-position model. The record is from RNAcentral.